GGGGAUGUGGCUCUAUGAUACAGCAUCUGCCUGGCAUGUAUGAGGACCUGGGUUUGAUCCCCAGCACUGCCA
Molecule: transfer RNA, 72 nt
Filed under: Ictidomys tridecemlineatus (thirteen-lined ground squirrel)
Lineage: Eukaryota; Metazoa; Chordata; Mammalia; Rodentia; Sciuridae
Description: Spermophilus tridecemlineatus (thirteen-lined ground squirrel) tRNA
Rfam family: tRNA
About the family: Transfer RNA (tRNA) molecules are approximately 80 nucleotides in length.
Source: Rfam by way of RNAcentral